AGCAGCCGCGGUAAUUCCAGCUCCAAUAGCGUAUAUUAAAGUUGUUGCAGUUAAAAAGCUCGUAGUUGAAUUUCGGGAUCAGUAUGUUGGUCGUGCUUCGGUACGUACUGUCAUUACUGGUUUCUACCUUCUGAAGAACCUUGAUGUCAUUAAUUUGGUGUCUUGGGGAAUCAGGACUAGUUACUUUGAAAAAAUUAGAGUGUUUAAAGCAAGCAUACGCUUGAAUACAUUAGCAUGGAAUAAUGAAAUAGGACGUUUGAUUCUAUUUUGUUGGUUUCUAGGAUCGACGUAAUGAUUAAUAGGGAUAGUUGGGGGCAUUAGUAUUCAAUUGUCAGAGGUGAAAUUCUUGGAUUUAUUGAAGACUAACUACUGCGAAAGCAUUUGCCAAGGAUGUUUUCAUUAAUCAAGAACGAAAGUUAGGGGAUCGAAGACGAUCAGAUACCGUCGUAGUCUUAACCAUA
This 461-nucleotide ribosomal RNA is filed under the name uncultured Glomus. RNAcentral describes it as "SSU rRNA". It matches the Rfam family "Eukaryotic small subunit ribosomal RNA", at positions 569 to 1034 of the family's 1831-position model. The record is from RNAcentral. Lineage: Eukaryota; Fungi; Glomeromycota; Glomeromycetes; Glomerales; Glomeraceae.